RNAcentral lists this ribosomal RNA (371 nucleotides) under uncultured organism. RNAcentral's name for it is "bacterial SSU rRNA". It matches the Rfam family "Bacterial small subunit ribosomal RNA", at positions 527 to 896 of the family's 1533-position model. The record is from RNAcentral.
CGGGGGGGCAAGCGUUGUUCGGAAUUACUGGGCGUAAAGGGCUCGUAGGCGGCCAACUAAGUCGGACGUGAAAUCCCUCGGCUUAACCGGGGAACUGCGUCCGAUACUGGAUGGCUUGAGUUUGGGAGAGGGAUGCGGAAUUCCAGGUGUAGCGGUGAAAUGCGUAGAUAUCUGGAGGAACACCGGUGGCGAAGGCGGCAUCCUGGACCAACACUGACGCUGAUGAGCGAAAGCCAGGGGAGCAAACGGGACUAGAUACCCCGGUAGUCCUGGCCCUAAACGAUGAAUGCUUGGUGUGACGGGUAUCGAUCCCUGUCGUGCCGAAGCUAACGCAUUAAGCAUUCCGCCUGGGGAGUACGGUCGCAAGGCUG